This is a non-coding RNA of Manis javanica (Malayan pangolin), 8762 nucleotides long. The record is from RefSeq and is a predicted model, not a curated record. NCBI's taxonomy places the organism in Eukaryota, Metazoa, Chordata, Mammalia, Pholidota, Manidae.
CUGCAGGCCUGCUCACUGCCAUUGUCCAGCUACCAGGGGCCACAAACUCUCUGAGCAUUUGCCACGAACCACACGAGGCUCUACACUACAGCCCUGUCAGCCCCCAUGAAGUCCCCCCGAAGCAGAUGGGCCCAGAUCCUGGCCCCCUGCAAGGCUCUGGACACCACACAUCGCUGCCAGCGCCAUCACAUCGAGUGGCCACAAGGCCACCAUUGCACCCAUGAGGAAUCUGAGGCCUGGGGAGGGGCGCCACCUGCCCACCGACAGUGGGGUGGAGCUGGACCCCAGCCCGGGUCUCCAGGUCAAAGCCUGGCUCUGCCCCUGGGCCCCCUGCCCUGGCCUGUGCAGGAUGGCAACUCUCUCUCGGAUUCCAGCCCGAUUACCACAGUGCGGAUCAGCAGCUGCAAGCCUGUCCACCCCCCUGAGCUGGGGGAGAACUUUAUCUGAAAGCAAGGUGAGUUUCUGCAAAGGCUGUGGUAUCCUUGGGGGCCUCGGGAACCCAUAUUCUUCCCUUGUGACUAGCAGCCCCCACAGUGGGCCUCUACCUGCUGCAGGAACUCCUCCACAGCAGCCCUGGGGAGGAGGCUGCUCAGCCUCAGCCCAAACACCCUCACUGAUGGGAAGCUCACUACCUCUCAAGGCUGCCCAUUCCAUCGCGGGCCUCCACUGACUUCAGGAAACCCUCUCUUGGACAGAGGCUCCUGGGGGCUUUUUACACUGGCCUCACUUCCUUGUGCCACAAUGAGUGAGACCUCCAUUCAGGAACUUAUCUGGUCUGUCCUCCUACCAGUGCAAGUUUUCCCAAUGUCUACUGUGGGUAGAGACAGCCUCUGUUUACACGUCUCCAUACACCCACCCCAAUAUUCACACGGCUAUCUGCAGCCCGCCUCACCAGCUAACCAUCCCCAAGAUCACUCACCCAUCCGCACGCCCAUUCACAUCUCCCUUCCUUCUUUCCUACCCCCUUCCCCACCUUCCAGUCAUCCACCAAUUUAUAUCCUCCUCUUCCUCCAACUGUACCCCCAUCCACCCUCCACAACCCCCACCCAUCCCCACACCCAUCCCCACCCAUCUCCCAUCCACCCACCCGUCCCUCCCUCCCCUCUGGUCUGGGCUGGCCCCUAGUCCCCACAGGGUAAAGAACUAUAACAGGUGGUCUUCGCAAAGCGUCUUCCAGAACCCUCCCGCAGCCUCCAUGAGCCCUGUGCCUCUCACCUGGUCCCCCAGGAUUCCACACCCAGCCUGUCACAUCCCGGGCAAAUGUGAGCCUUCCCUCUCUCUCUGCCUCAUUCCCUCCUGGUGCCUGCUAGCCUCUGAUUUCCCUCAUCUCCUGGACCCUACAGCCCCAGGUCCUGGGGCAGACCCCCUGGGCCUGGACUCGGCAACAGGGACACUGCACCCAGAUGGGAGGAGUAUUUGUCACACACACCUUCCAUGCCUGCCUGCUGCCAGACACCAGUCAUGGCAGGUGCCUGGUGGAGAGGGGCAAGGGGCACAUUGGACCCUGGAGGAGAUCCCAGAGAGGGGUGUCAUUUUCAGGACCAGAGGCUAAGAUCCUUGUGAGGUCCCCUUCCAGGUCCCUGUUCUCUUGUCCCAAAGUCUCUGGAGGGCCUGGGCCUCACGGACCCGUUCUUCCUCCAGGCGGCGGCCACCUGUAUCCGCCUCCUCUCCCACAGCAUCGCAUUAGCGCUUCCCUCCCCCACAUUACAGAGGCAGAAACCAAAGCUCAGGGUGGGUGAGGCUUUCCCAGCUCCCAGGGCUCCACUUCCUCCUCACAGGGCCACUGCUUUGGCUUGGAUGGGCCUAGGAGACUACCUGGGGGUUUAGGAAAGCCUGGAGGUGAGUCUGAGGGCACAGAGAGCUCAGCAUCCCUGCCCAGCAGAGGCCAUGCGCCAUCUCCUAUGCUGUCACAGGGUGGCCCUUGAAGAUCUGCUUUUUGAAGGCCCUGGCAGUCCGCAGUCCACAGCUAGCCCUCUGGGUCAUGAGCUGCUCACGGCCCCCUGCACUCACCACAUGCUGUCUCAGGGUGCUGAUGGCAGUAGAGGCUGUACACAGCGCGGUGGCCUGGGGCAUGUUGGGGCUCCCCACCCUUUCCACAACUGCUCUCUUCAUGUCCACUCAACCUCCAUCAGCCCUGAUGGGUUCAUGUCCACACUACCCCCAUCUUAUGGAUGAAGGAACUGAGGCCCAAGCGCUCUGUGGGUUCCUGAAUGCUGGCUUAGCACAUUCCGUCUUCAACACCAACAGUAGCUUGUCCUUGAGAAUGGGGGCAGACGUCUUACUCAUCUCUGACACCCUUUUCCCUAUGUGAGUCAUCCUGCCUCAGUUUGUUCCUCUGCAAAAUGGGAGUUCAGCAUCCGUAGUCUCCUAGCUGGGGUGAGUACUAAGUGUCUCCAGGCCCACAGCGCUGUGUGCCCCUGUGUUCGAGACUUAAACUUUCAGAUCAUCUUCUGUAGGACAGCAGGGCUAAUAUCAGCUGUCAUUUCCAAAGCCCCUGGCCCUGCCGGGCUGUGUCAAGUGUGCAGUGAUGCCUGUCCCUCCUUCUGCUCCUGUGGGUUGCAGGGGACCACAGCAGGCAGGUCUGCAUGGACAUGCUCACACCGCCAGCCGGCCGCUCCCUCUCCCCAGCCACGCAGCCAAGCCCCGCGCAGAGCUGGCCGGCCCUCCACCUCAGCAUUCUGACUCACAUGCCCCCUGGGGAUGAAGUCACUGCCGCCCAGGUGAAGAAAAGGAUACGUUUGUUCCCUGGGAGACGCUGAUGCCAUGGUGAACUUGGCCUUCAAGGGCAGGACACAGCUCUGGGCUUGUGCUCACAGGCUGUAGGCAGCUGCCUCAGUGAGGGCACCGGUGAGGGGUCAGUGAGGACCCUGUCCGGAGGAUCGAGGACUGGGAUGGUACCCUUCCCUGGAGGCCAGGUGAGAGGGUUUAUGGCCUCUAUCUGGCCGUCAGACCUAGCUGGGUUUGGCCCCUCUACUUGCCUGGAGAGGACUCUCUGAGGUCUGAGGGCUCCAAAACCCCAAACUUCUGCCUCUGACUUAAGGGGCAAGCUACAGUUCCAUGGAUGUCUGCCUCCUUCACAUAUGGGCACACUCCACUCUACAAGCUGGCGAGCUGGAGGCGAUGGUGGGCUUCAAGAGCCAGACCCCAACUCCUCCUGCUUUCUGGGUCUCUGUGUGGGCUCUCCAUCCCUGCCUUCAGCCUCUUUCCCUGGUGACCCUCCCCAUGGCUGCCUGUCACCUAUAGGAGAAAGGCCAAACCCCAGCCAGGCAGGCAAGACCCUCUGUCCCCUGCCAUCCACUCUGAGCUUCCAGAUAUCAAGCAGUGCCUGAGCCUCAAGGCCUACCCACCCUGGGCAGGAAUUCUGCACAACUGGGCCAGCUAUUCUCCACAUGCCCUGGAGAUUGAUUGUCUACUCUGCUCAGGGCCCAGGGACUGAAUACCAGGCUACUGUGCUCGGUUGGGUGUGCGCAGUGGGAGGCCCAGGCAGGAGUGGGAGGCUUGUGGGGUGGGAUGGGCAGGAAGGAUAUUCACUGCCCCCUGCAGCCAAAGUGUCUGGCAGGUGGCCUUGGCACAUGGCUCUCUCUCUGGGGGUUCAUGUAAAUGCUUCCUCCCCACCCUCAGGUGCAGGGCUAGUAAGUCCUCCCCACUGUUGCCGGCCUACUGUGUGGAACCAGGUGCCAUACCUUCCCCCACCAUCUCCCUUAACCCCACACCACCCCUGCAUGCAGCCCCAUCAGGGUUCACACCACACUGUGGACCCUGCUAGUGAGUCAUCUGCUUCCUGCAGGACCCAGUUGCUACUCUUCAAGGUCACGCCUCUAGGAAGCCAAUUAUUUGUUUGUUCCUCCAUUCACUCAACAUGUGUUAAUGUCCUUACUCUGUGAAGAUGGGCACUGCUACUUGGUGAGGAAGACCACAGAGCCUUGUAGGGCUGACAUUCUGCAGGAGGAAUAACCAGCACCACGUAAGCAAAUAAGUAUAACUUCUGGCAGUGGUCUGUGCCAUGCGCAAGCUGAAUAAAGCAUAGAAUUUCACUUGGUGACAAGCUUCCCUGGUCCUCUCCUCUCCUGUGCCUGGUCCUCUCCAUUCCCUGGGCUUCCGUGGGUAUCACGUGUGUCUGUGGCCCGUACCUCAGUGCUCUGAGAGCCUGUGGGAAGUGAGGGAGUAGCCUCUGCACGCUCCCCGAUAACCCUAAGUAGCAGCGGUCACGAACAUGUCCCAAUUUUACACAUUAACAAACCGAGGUUCAGACACCUUCCCCAGGAUUAUACUUAAACCCAGCUCUGCCUGCCUGAUUCCAAACCCAGAGCUCUUUCUCCUGUUUCAGGCAGAAAGCAAAAUGAAUCACCCAUCACUUAAAUGUGUAUUCUUCCAGAGUAGGGCCAGGCACAAGGCAGGCACUUGACACAUGCCCAGAUGGCUGAAUGUCAAAACCCUUAUUUUUGCUGCUGCUUAAGCAGCAUUUGCACUGUGGGCUGGGACGUCCCUAUUUUCCAGGUGGGAAAACGGAGGCCUGUGGUGGCUAAGAGCACUGGGUCCCACGGGACCACGGGUGGGCUCCCAGCCUCCCAGGUUGCUGGCCAACCUGAGUUCUGCCAUCUUGUCUCAGGCCUAGGAGGCCACUAACAGCUCAGGGGGCAGGCAGGGCUGGCCACUGACUCAGGCUGGGUGCUGGGGAAGAAGCCAGGGAGAGCUUUGCCACGUCCAUCUUAGGGAGCACGAGGGACAGAGUCCAAGGCCCCAGCUGGGUGCCCAGGCCUGCUCUGACUGCUCUGCAGAGAGGAGACUGUUGGGGAAAGAACAGAAGCUAGGGCUGGGGAGCAGCUGAUGCCUGGGCUCGGGAGGUGGCCCAAGACAUGAGGAUAAGUGACUGGAUUCUAGAAACACUCUUAAAGCACAGCCAGUAGGGAUUUCUGAUAGAUAAGGUGAGGGUGUGAGAAAGAAAGAGCAGCUGACACCUGGGCUUCUGGCCUGAGCAGCUAGGAGGAUGGAGGCUUCCGUGAUUAUAAAGGGGACACCGGAACAGCGAGUGGGGAGCAGGUGGGGUGGGGUGGGACAGAACACUGGGAAGGAAUUUGCUCUGUGGAAACGAGAGCUCUUGUUUUCCAGGAGUCAGAAAUCCAGAUUUUUGCAUAUAAGCUCUUGAAUUUUAUAUGCUUGCAAGAAACUCAAAUUUAAAAUAUGUGGGCUAAUCCCAUGCAGGCAAAAUAAAGUCCAUCUGUAGGUGUCUGGCCUACAGGCCUCCUCUUAUACCCUUUGUUCCUUCUCGAUUGUUAAGACUCACUGAGCUGCCACUUCCUCCAGGAAGCUGCCCAGGAUUGGUUUAGCUCCAGAGAUGUUUGUGGCUCCUCACAGCCCCCUUGUGGGACUAAAAAAAAAAACAGACUAGCAGUGGCUUGCAGGUGGAUAUGAGGUUUGCUCAUCAGUUUCUCAUACUCCCAAUGAACAAUCUGGCCCAGAGGAGUUCAUGGAUGAUUAUCUGCUGGAUGGAUGAACAGCUCUCUCACUUAAUCCCUCUGCCUUUCAUUUUGCAAAUGAGGAAACUGAGGCCCAGAUUAGGGAUGUGACCUGCCCAGGGCAGCAUCUAGGGCCAGAGCCUGCUCACUGUCCAACCUCUGUUUGUCAGCUGCCCCUGAGACCGGGCGGGCAGGGCAGGAAGUAUGUAGACAAUUGUACAAUCUUAUCACGUUUUGUCACUGCAGGGAAAAACAGGAUCUGGAGCAGCUCCCAAUCAUCCAGGGGGAGUCUGUUCUGGGGCUCUCUCUCCAGGAGCCUGCCAUGGUGGCUGCCACCUAGGAUCCAGGCAGAGCCAGACCCUCAGACUGAGCACCUCUGUAGGUGGCCUGGCUGUGGGACAGAUGGAGUCCCAAGGGGAAGGGCCUGACAUCAGCAAUUGGCCAAAGUGACAGCCAGCCCUCCCGGGUUCUCCCUUCUGAGAGUUCUGACCCAGUCCCGUUCAGGCCUGCAGAGGGCAGAGAGUACAAGGGCCCUGUGGGGUGUUUGCUCAGAUAGGCCGUGUCGGGGAAGCACUGUUAGCAGUGGAGGCCGCAGCCCCAUUCCCCAGUGCUGGAGGUGGAGAGAUGAGUCUCUGAGCUGUCAGGUGACUUAUCUCAAGUCACACAGCCAGGGAGAAGUCGAUCUGGGACUCCUCACUCUAAGACCUGACCCUUUUCCAUGCUGCUGUGCUGCACCGGCCAUGGGGCCUUUCCAAGCCAUCCUCUCACCUCCUCCCCAGUGAAAUGAGGAAAGAAACAGGACGGGCCUUCAGGGGCCUUCGUGAAGAUCCAACACAUGGAAGGUGCCAGCACUGUGUGAACGUGCUUUGUGAAGCUACGUGAAAGGCUGUGUGUAUAAAGCGAUGCUCUUCUUAGCCUCUAGUCUCUAAAUUUUCUGGGUGUGGCAAUCUUUGAAAUUCCCAGGGUGACACUUAGCUAUCAUCCAAUAAUAAUAAUAAUAAUAAUACUCAUGGUUACUGAGUGCCUACUGCAGCCAGGGCCCUACAUGGGCCUGACUCAUUGAAUCCUUAAGCCCACCCUAUGAGGUAUUAGUACCUCAUGUAUAGGGCGGGGAAACUAAGGCACAGAGAGGUUUACAAACAUGCCCAGUGUUAUGCAAAUGGAAGGGGUAGAGUUAGGAUUUGAACCCUGGCAAUUCUGCCCCAAACACACUAUGCAACACGACUUUCCUAGUCUGGUAUGGAAGUCCUUCUCAGUGUCUAAGCCAAAUCCUUUUACUGCAGGCUGUACUCAUUCCCUAGCUCCUUCCUGGGCAAAGGAGAAAAGCUGAUGCUUUUGCCCCGCAUCAUGUGCUGAAAGGCCUGACUUCUUUGGCUCCCGGCUCCCAGCUCCCUGGUUCUGGCGUGCAUGUCAGGGCAAACCAAACAGAAGCCCUCCCCUUGGCUGGCUGCACCCGCACACGCGCCUCCUGCAAAGAGAACCGGCAUUGGCCCACACAACUAAAGAGGCUGACAUGUCCCAGGACCUGCAGGUGGCCAGCUAGAGACCCAGGAAAGCUGGUGGUGUGGUUCCAAACCAAAUGCCAGGAGGCUUCAGAUCCAGGAGGAAGCAAUGCUUCAGUCUAAGUCUGGAGGCAGGAGAAAAACUGAUGUCCAGCUCAAGGGCAGCCAGACAGGUGCAUUCCUGCUUACUCAGCCUUUCUACUCUAUCCAGACCUUCAACUGAUUGCACGAGGCCCACCCACACUGGGGAGGGCAAUCUGCUCUGCUCAGUCUACUGAUUCAAAUGUCAGUCCUCCAGAAAACCCCUCACAGACACACCCAGAAUAAAGGCUAGUUAAAAUUUUAGGUGCUGUGUGGCCCAGUCAAGGUGGCACAUAAAGGUAAUCAUCAGACAUGGUCUUCCCUCUGUAUCUGCGCCCUAAUCUCUUCUUAUAAGGACACCAGUCAUAUUGGAGUAGAGCCACCUUAAUGACCUCAUUUGAACUUCAUUACCUCUUUAAAGACCCUACCUCUAAGUACAGUCCUAUUCUAAGGUAUUGGGGGUUAGGACUUAUGAAUUCUAGCGGGUACAUAACAGGCUCUGACAGGACACAGAGUUUGGCUCAUAGGCAUUUGGACCCAGCUCUUUCCUCUGCUGAGUGUGCCUGGGCAUCUGGAGCCCCUCGGUUGGCUUGCCCCUUCCCUGGCAGGCUGAUUCAUCCAUCCUGUGGUUGCCAAAACGUGGAGGAGGUGCAGACAGUCACUUAGUGUGGACUGAGCUCACGUGCAAAGUCCAGCAAUCACUGCCGGCCAAUGUGCUCACCAUGGAAGGCCAGUAAGGUCUAGUCCCAGCAAGGUGGUUCCCUGAAUAAAAUCUCAAUGAUCUCAAUAUCCAUCUCCCCACUCCCUGGCUACCAGGGGAUCUUGCUAAGACACAGGGGGCUGCCAGGGGAGGUCAGACAUGAAGGACUGGAGCCCUGGAGCCCACCUGCACCUGGAGUGCCUGCUUUAAAUGCCCUCUAGAUGUGCCUGGCCAGGGCAGGGCAGGCAGAUGGAGGCAGGCAGCCUGGUCCCACUAUAGGUCAGUUCUUCUCUCUAAACUUGGGCUGGGUUUGGCUCUGGCUGCUUCAUUCUUAAACCUUGCCUAAUUAUUCUGCUGAAGACGAGCUCCUGGAGGUCCCUGAGAAUUUGGUCAAACUGUGCUGCCUUGCUCUGGUCCAGCAGAAGUACCUAAAUGAGGAGGAUAUGCUUGCAGGAAGCAUGGGGCAUUUUGUACUGCCAGGCACACAGCCUUCCCAUGUCACCUGGGAACUGGCCUCUCCCACAGAGUGCAUUGCUGGUGGGGUGGAAAUAAAAAGGCCUAUGCCAUGGGUAGAAGCAAAGGGGUCCCUGUAGGUUAGUUCCUACAGAUACUUCCCCCAACCUCCCAGCACAACCAAGGGGUGGAACAUAGCAUGAGCUUGACCAAUCAGAUUCUCCCCCGAGACUUUACAUCGGAGUGGAGGCAGGUGGCUGGGGACUCCCUGAAUGCACACAGCCAGGAGCCUGCACCUGGGGCUGUGGGAUUACGGCUCUGGGACUUCAGCUUCCUGCUGAUCCUCUGAACUCCCAAGGGGCUUGUAACCUCUCUUUUGCUCCAGCUGGCAAUGCAUGAUUUCUGUUGCUUGCCACCAAAGACUGUCGGAUCCAGUGUUCACCUGCUGCCAUCGGUGUCUUUUCUGCCAAGGGUGAUUGUCUGCACCUCUUAUGUCAAUGGGAAAAUCCUCCUCUUCCAUCAAGAUCCAUCUCAAUUCUACAAGAACCCUUUAUGACUUUCCCAGUUAAA